UGCAUGCAAGUCGAGCGACGACUCCUUAGCCCGUGAGGGUUUAGCGGAGCGGCGAACGGGUGCGUAACACGUGACUAAUCUACCCCGAAGACCGGGAUAGCCCGGGAAACCCGGAUUAAUACCGGAUGAUCUCACCGCAGCGCAUGUUGCGGUUAGCAAAGGUUCAGGCGCUUCGGGAUGAGGUCGCGGCCCAUCAGCUGGUUGGUGAGGUAACGGCUCACCAAGGCAACGACGGGUAGCUGGUCUGAGAGGACGAUCAGCCACACUGGAACUGAGAUACGGUCCAGACUCCUACGGGAGGCAGCAGCAGGGAAUCUUGCGCAAUGGGCGAAAGCCUGACGCAGCGACGCCGCGUGGGGGAUGAAGGCCUUAGGGUUGUAAACCCCUUUCACGAGGGAAGAAAAUGACGGUACCUCGAGAAGAAGCCCCGGCUAACUACGUGCCAGCAGCCGCGGUAAUACGUAGGGGGCGAGCGUUGUCCGGAUUUAUUGGGCGUAAAGGGCUCGUAGGCGGCUUGACAAGUCGGCCGUGAAAACCCAGGGCUCAACCCUGGGACGCCGGUCGAUACUGUCAUGGCUAGGGUCCGGUAGAGGGGAAUGGAAUUCCCGGUGUAGCGGUGAAAUGCGCAGAUAUCGGGAGGAACACCAUUAGCGAAGGCGGUUCCCUGGGCCGGCACCGACGCUGAGGAGCGAAAGCGUGGGGAGCAAACAGGAUUAGAUACCCUGGUAGUCCACGCCGUAAACUUUGGGUACUAGGCGUGGCGUCUUAUCAACGGACGCCGUGGUCGAGCUAACGCGUUAAGUACCCCGCCUGGGGAGUACGGCCGCAAGGCUAAAACUCAAAGGAAUUGACGGGAGCCCGCACAAGCGGAGCAUGCGGCUUAAUUCGAUGCAACCCGAAGAACCUUACCUGGACUUGACAUCACGGGAAAAACCCUGGAAACAGGGUGUGCGUAAGCGUCCGUGACAGGUGG
Molecule: ribosomal RNA, 973 nt
Filed under: uncultured Actinomycetes bacterium
Lineage: Bacteria; Bacillati; Actinomycetota; Actinomycetes
Description: bacterial SSU rRNA
Rfam family: Bacterial small subunit ribosomal RNA
Source: RNAcentral